This 215-nucleotide ribosomal RNA is filed under the name uncultured bacterium. RNAcentral describes it as "partial 16S ribosomal RNA". It matches the Rfam family "Bacterial small subunit ribosomal RNA", at positions 524 to 738 of the family's 1533-position model. The record is from RNAcentral.
UACGUAGGGUGCGAGCGUUGUCCGGAAUUACUGGGCGUAAAGAGCUCGUAGGUGGUUUGUCGCGUUGUCCGUGAAAACUCACAACUCAAUUGUGGGCGUGCGGGCGAUACGGGCAGACUGGAGUACUGCAGGGGAGACUGGAAUUCCUGGUGUAGCGGUGGAAUGCGCAGAUAUCAGGAGGAACACCGGUGGCGAAGGCGGGUCUCUGGGCAGUG